AGUGAACGCUGGCGGUGUGCCUAAUACAUGCAAGUCGAACGGCAGCACAGUAAGCUCUCGUCUCUACUGGUGGCGAGUGGCGGAUGGGUGAGGAAUACAUCGCAAACCUCUAUUUCUUGGGGGACUACGGAAGGCAACUUAUGCUAACACCGCAUAUUUUCUACGGCUUAAUUCAGAGGAUCUUCGCACUUUUGCUGUCUCUAUUAGCCGAAUCCGCGUUGCAUUAGCGAGUUGGUAAGGUAACGGCUUACCAAGGCAACGAUGCAUAGCUGAUCUGAGAGGGUGAUCGGCCACACUGGAACUGAGACACGGUCCAGACUCCUACGGGAGGCAGCAGUAGGGAAUAUUGCACAAUGGGCGAAAGCCUGAUCCAGCAAUGCCGCGUGAGUGAUGAAGGUCUUCGGAUCGUAAAGCCCUUUUGUUGGGGAAGAAAAGCUGCGGAUGUAACUGCGGAUAUCUUGACGGUACCCAAUGAGAAAGCACCGGCUAACUUCGUG
This 497-nucleotide ribosomal RNA is filed under the name uncultured bacterium. Its description in RNAcentral is "partial 16S ribosomal RNA". It matches the Rfam family "Bacterial small subunit ribosomal RNA", at positions 29 to 507 of the family's 1533-position model. The record is from RNAcentral.